Molecule: long non-coding RNA, 30394 nt
Filed under: Panax ginseng (ginseng)
Lineage: Eukaryota; Viridiplantae; Streptophyta; Magnoliopsida; Apiales; Araliaceae
Description: long non-coding RNA (PGIN_LNC017933)
Source: RNAcentral
CAACAUUCCCUAAUUUUUCCUUCUCUCUCAAAUGAUUCCGCUCCUUGCUAAGGCAAAUACGGAACUCCUCUCCAUCUAAUCACAAUUGAGUUACUCCUUAGCAAUCUCCAGUACUUAUAUUCCGCGGGCACAAGAAAAUAAUUUGAAAGCUUCAUAAUAUCCUUGAGCAGCUGGGAUUAAGUUGCAGAAUAGUAAGAAAUUAUAAGCAAUCAAGUGAAAGGUAUGUGAAUUAUUUUACUAAGUUUUGUUAGCUAUGAUGUUAGUAUUGAGCAAAGUGAUUGUGAAUUAGAACAAAACAGUUGGUUAUAAAACAAAACAAAAACUGUUAGUUUAUUGGUUGUUUGAGUAUUCAUGUUUUGUUUGUGAAAUUGACUGCUAUGAAUUUAAUUUAGGCACAAAGAGAUAAGUGGGCUGUGGAGUAAUAAGGAGAAUAAUAUGAGUUUAUAAUAUAAACCUAUGGCUAUGAAUCUAGUAACACAAAACUGUGCACACUACGUGUUUGUUAAAAGUCCCAAGUGGACUGUAUUGAUUAGAAAUCAAUUACUAGAUAAAAUCAAAAACUGGGACAAAGUGGUAUGCUAUAUGAGUUUAUAAUCAGAGUAAAUAAGCAUGCUAGUUUGAAAUGAAACUCAAUUAUAGCCAAAGGAAAAACAGAGUAUGUCAAUGCUCAUGUAAGUGCUGUUUUGUGCAGUCAACUGAAACUGAAAUGGAAGUGCUUCAAUUUCUACAAAUAUUAUUAUUAUAUGAUAGAUGUAAUAUAUCUAAAAAGGAUAUAGAUGAACAUUUGAAUUGAAGCAACAAACUAGGGAAAUAGGCACAUAGCUGCUGCCUAUGGCAGCAGCAGUAUCAGUGAUAUGGUUUAGGUGAGAGUUUGUUUUAAGUUUUCAAUCGGCAAGCUUAGUGGUUUAAAUAACUUAGUUACUAUUUUAUUCAAGUUGGUAACUAUAUUACCUAUAUUAUCUCCAAAAUUGUAGUAUAUUAACUACAAGUUAGAAAUUGGUUGAAGGGCAGAGCAUGGCAGCAGCAGCAGUUUGCAACAGCCAUCAACCAAGAGAUAGUGGGUGUGGGUUGUGGCUGCAAGACAACUACAGCCAUAGCUAAUAAGUGCACUAAAGGAAUAAGCUACUGCUGUAUAGCAGCCAUGAACAACAAGUAGUAACGAGUCCCAACUUAUAGAGAUUUGAGCUGGGUAUAUGAUGGCUACAUAUUAGUUUAUAAAAGUAGUGAAGAAUUGUUUAUAAAUCUUUAACAAACAAUCCCAUGAGUUAUAAAAAAAAAAACUAAUUAAGAAAUGGGAUAGAAUAGCUGACUUGGACAGCUGCAGAACAAUGGCUGGGCUGGGGGGCUUUCAUUUGAGCAAUUCGACGGUAUAGUUGAAUGGUUUUACGAAUUUAAUUAGCAUUCUAUUUAAAUAGGAAGUAUGUAAACUUCUAUGCUUUCAAAGAAUGGCAUAAUAAGGUGUGUAAUUGGAGCUAAUUAUCGAGCAAGGGGGAGGCAAGCUGCUGCACAUUUGCAGCAACAGUUGUUAGCUAACUGCUAAUGCAGUGUAAAGCCACACUAAAAUUUAUUAAAUCCCACAAAGUCAAACAUAAGUGACUAAUAGCAUAAAAAAAUGCUAAGAAACUGUUAGUAUAUUUAAGUGAGCUACUUAACUCACUUAGUUAAAUAGAGGAAACAAAAGGAUAAUUAACAAGCAAAAUUUAACCUCAAUAGUAAGAGGUUGCUAAGCCAACUAAAUUACGCGAGAGAAUUGUUAAAGCAUCUAUAAAGGCUGCAAGAUAUAUUUAGCCAAAGAGGGUUAUUUUGACAUAACUAAGAAACGCUAUAAGUCGAAUGAAUAAUUUGACAAUAUAAUUUGCAAAGCAGAUUGGGAACUAAAAGUUCUACCCUUAUGAUAAACAAUCAUACUUAAUACAUGAAAUAUCUUACGUAUUCACCUUGAAUACCUAAGUUAUAAAGAAGAUUGCAAAGUAUACUCAUGGCAAGAAAGAAGAAAAAGGAAUAUAAACUAAAGUCAUGAAAAUUCAUGAACAUGGAUUAUGUCAGACCCUAUAAAAGAAAGAAAAGGCUAUUGUAAGAACAUGGAUGAGGUAUUUGAAAAAUGUAUAGAAAUAUCUCAAGCAUAAACUAAAAACAUUAUCACUAUGAGGUUUUUGACUUCUCCUUGGCCUUCAGUAUACACCUUGGGUACAUGGGCGUCAUCUCCCUUUGUGACUUGUUCAUAAAAAGAAACUUUCAAUAAGAAAAGGGUGUAUGAUAGAUUUGAAUGUGGCUUCGAAGGAAAUAAUGCAGACGUUUGGCUUUUCGAUAUUUGGAUUUGAUUAAUUAUUCAAUGCAUAUCUACUAUUAAAUACAGUGUUGUUUUGGAUGGUGAAAAACUUGAUGCCUUCUGUCCUAACAAAGGAUUGGGUGGGUAAAUACCUUUUCUGUACUUGUUCAAUAUGUUUCCUGAAAGUCUAUCCUUUGAUAAACUGGGCGGUAGAUAGUUUAUGGUUCCUCAUGUUAAAAUUUGAGUUAAACAAGUGGAUAACUCAUCAUAAUAGACAAUGAGAUUAAAGACUGGAAAAGUCCACUGAUUUGUAAGUGUUUCCCCAAGAAGUGACUCAAGAUACUUUAGUUGGCCCGUGCUCUUGGAUUUUGACAGGAAGCUCCUUGAGUUCUGCCAAGGAAAUGAAGUGGUAACUUUGCAAGAGAGACUCGGUGUCUCAACAACAUUGGAAGUUGCUACUAGUGGGAGACUAUGAAGAAGAAUGCCUAUUGAUUGAUGGUCCCCUAUCUAUACUGAGGAGGUUUCUUAUUGUGAAGAGGGUGUAGAGAAGCAUGAUAAAAAGUAAGGUGAAGAGGGGGUUUCUUAGUCAAGUGCUGCAUAGAUGGAAGAAUUCAACUAUGAAGCCACAAUCAUACAAAUUUUCAGCAUGGUUGUGUAUUGAAAGAAGUCACAGAAAUUAGCUAAGGAAUGGGAAGAUGCUUGAGACAUGGGAAGACUUUGCUCUCUAUUUCCGUAAUAAUGGUAGUUUAUCCACGUUAGCUCUCAAGCUUUCCUGUUUUUUUUCAUAAACCAUAAUCUCCAUUAUUGCAUACUAAUUUAUCUCGGCUUUAUCUCUUGACUGAUUUCUAGUGUUAAGGGUUGCAUGGUACCAGUUGCUGCAAAUACAUAUUCAUUUAUUUGGUUGGUCAUGUUUAUGACCUGCCUUUCAUGGUUUUUUCAGGAUAUAUUGAACUGAAGAACAUAGGAUCCUGUAAUGACUUUUCGUCAAAAAUGGAGUCAUGAAAAUAAUGAGGUAUACACCUGGUAAAUUCCCUCUGAAUCAAUUGCCUGAAUAAAUUUGUCUGGAAUGUGUUAGAUGUAUUGAAGUAUGAUGCAAUGUUCUGGAUUGUGAUUAGGGCGUCUGUCUGCUGAUAAAUUUGAUGAGUCAUUAGUCUUAGGCUGUUGGUCACUUGUCCUUCGUCAUGUGCCAUCAGGCAUAGGGCUAUGGGUCGAACGAUGAAUGCCCAACACGUGGCGGCUCAUUGUUUACAGGAAAAUUUGCUGGCCUUUCUUCAUCUUCUCAUGUAGAGUCCUCCAAACUAUUAUUCUUCCAUUGAACAAAUAUUUGAACAAUUGAUGGCGCCUUUCUUCUGUUAACAUGUCAUUCCAUAGUCUAAUUCAACUUGUAUAACAUUUAUUCUGUUAUAAUUGACAGUCUUGCUCUGUUAUUUUCAGUAUUCUUUUGCUCAACUAAGUAAAUUUUAUUAAAGAAAGAACAAUUACUCUUCAAACUUACAUUGCAAUUUCGUAAGAUUAUCAGUUAAUAUCUCCACCAUACUCCUAUCCACAUACCCCUUGCAAUAUCUCCUUCUUCUAGAUUCUUUUCAAAAGCAAGGGAAUCACUUGCACCAUUAAUUUAAAAAAUUAAGAAAAGAAAAAAAGCGACUCUAAAUAAGUUGAUUGAUACUUAAUUUUGUCAAACAUGAAUGGCUAUAAUAGGGAUACUAUGUGGUUAGUCUGAUCAAUCCAUUUGAGAUAACCAUAGUUUCUAUUUGGAGCAUCUUUAUCGACCUCUAAACUCGGAAUAAAACUCCUCCUAUUUGCUAGUGAAUUCUAGAAUGCUAGGUUCUACGCUGAUCUUCGUUCUUCUCGCUUGAACCUCUAGGAUUGCCUGAUAUAUAGUUUUAUCAUCUCCUACAUUGGUUGCAGAACUUGCUCUAUGAGGAAAUAUGGCAAAUGAGGGGUAAUUGAGGUUUGUGUGCUUUCGGUUGCAACUCCAGUUAUUUCGCCCUCCCUAGGACAGAACUCACUUGCCUUUUAGUAUAGUUGAGACCACACAAGAACUUAACGUAAUCUUGGGAAUCCAUGUCGUAUAUCAAUCCAGGCUAUAUUUCUUUGUUCGGAUUGACAUGGCCUGCCCCAAAAUCAAGAGGAGUGGUAAAAAGUCAUGUCCCUUGGUCUUUAAGAAUCGCGUGUGUAUUGCCUGUGGUAAUUGCGGUGGUCAUCAAAGUUGAUCGGAUGGCUGCAGGAUUCUAGUCAUGGUGAACUGCUUUCAACAGUGUUGUUACCCCUGCAACAGAGGGGGAUUUCCGUCAUCUGUGCUGCUGGAAAUUUUGGACCAGAUGCUUACUCAAUAGUCAAUGGAGCACCAUGGAUUACAACAGUAGGAGCUGGCACUAUUGAUCGGGAAUUUGUGGCAACGCUGCAACUGGGAAAUGGGGAAACUGUGGAAGGAAUAUCAUAUUUUCCAGAGAGCGUUUACAUCACCAAUUCACCUCUAUAUUAUGGGAAAAGCAAUGUAAACAAAUCAAUAUGCAGAGCUUCAGCGCUAGAUCCAAAAGAGGUUGCUGGAAAGGUUACCUUAUGUGAUACUAGCACUACUCUUGGUAUUGACCAGCAGAUCGAUGAAAUUGUCAGGGCAGGUGCAUAUGCCGAAAUAUUAUUGACGGACACAUUGACAACUUUAAAAGAAGAUGCUGACUCAUCCAUAUUCUCAUCCAUUCCCCCAAUGCUUCUGCAGAUCAGCACAAAACCUGCACAAGAAAUUGUCAGGGCAAAAGAGGUUGCUGAAAACCUGUACAAAACCUGCAUGGAGGGAAUGUACGAGAAUAUGAUGAGUCAACAUAUGCUUCUAAAGUUGCCAAUGUGUUCGUCAGUAAUAUUCCGACAUAUGCACGACAAUUUCAUCGAUCUGCUGGUCAAUAUCAAGAGUAGUGCUAGUAUCACAUAAGACCACCUUUCCAGCAACUUCUUUUGGAUCUAGCGUUGAACCUCUGCAUAUUGAUUUGUUUACAUUCCUUUUCCCAUAAUAUAGAGGUGAAUUGGUGAUGUAAAUGCUCUCUGGAAAGUAUGAUAUUCCUUCCACAGUUUCCCCAUUUCCCAGUUGUAGCGUUGCCUCAAAUUCCCGAUCAAUAGUGCCAGCUCCUACUGUUGUAAUCCAUGGUGCUCCAUUGACUAUUGAGUAAACAUCUGGUCCAAAAUUUCCAGCAGCACAGAUUAUGGAAAUCCCCCUCUGUCGCUGAAAGUACUGCAAUGGCUAUGACAUCCUUGAAAUAAGGUGCCCGCCUGAAGCCCAAAGACAAGGACAAGAUAUCUACCCCGUCCACAAUUGAUUGGUUCAUUGUAGCCAGUAAGUCGCUUGCAGCAAUGUUGCGAAGUGUGUCUGUCCAGCCAACCUUGUACAUGGCAAUACGUGCUCUUAGUGCCACCCUUUUGGUUGUCCCACUGGCGUAACCAAAAUGACUCGCACCGUGUACAUAAAUACCUGCAGCUAUAGAUGAUGUGUGAGUUCCAUGUCUACAGAAAUCUCGUGCUGAUUCGAAGUCACGGUCCUCGGAGAUUCUUCUACCUGCAGCUACAAGUCCUUUGUUAAAAGAUCAAGCUCCAAUCAGUUUCCUGUUGCAGAGAGAAUGGGUAAAAGUUGUACCAUUCCCACACAUCCCUUUCCAUCUAACUGGAACCGGUUACAUCCCCUUGUCCCUAAAGCUCUAACUUUCUGGCCAUAUUCCCGUGUCGACCCAAUGAUCACGUUUUUGCCGUAAGAUGCAGUAGGCCAUAUGUCAGCGGUAUGACUUAGGCCAAGAAACUUAGGCAAGUGGAUUGUGAAGAGCUUCCCGAAGGACUCUUCAUAUGUCGCCAAAUUAGAAGGGAGCUUCUCCAGCUGAGAUAGUUGAGAAGGCGUGAGCCGUGCACUAAACCCAUGCAUGACAUGGCCGUAUGAGUAGACCAACUUCUCUUUGUCAUCGAAGCGAUAUGGUGGAAACGACUGUAGGAUGUUUUGGUGCCAUAACUCUUCAGUUGUAAAAAUUUCUGGUUUGUGGGAAUGGUCCAUGUGUAUGAUGUAAGUUUGGUAUUCUUCAGGUUUGGGCGACACUUUGUUGAGCCCAGGUAACAAGAACAAUACUAGGUAGAAAAUUAUUGUGCUGCGUAAAAUGUUUCCUAUCUCGUUGAAAUGGAUUUGUUUAGCCAUGGUAGCUAUAGCAAUGAAAUGAAGUGGGAAUGUGGGAUAGUUUUUUCAACUUGCAGAUUUAUCCUACUUAUAUAGUGGAGUCGGGAGUGUGAGCACAAUGGAAUCCAAUAUAUGUGUAUAUAUAAAUACAUAUUUGUGGGGACCCUUUAGGAUUUAUGCUCAUGAUGACAGAUUUUUAUUUGAUUUUCCUCUCAAUAAGUUUGUCAUUUAAUGACCUUAAAUAUGAAACUGAUCCUAAAUUUGGUAUUGUUCUGUGUUCUACGUAUUCUGACCAUGCUAAAUUUUUUUUGCUACAGCAUACAAGUCUAGAGACUUUCCCUUUCCCUUUUUGAUAUUAUAGUAAUGGUUUCCACUUUCCCUUUUUGAUAUCAUAUCAAUAACAUCAUAAUGUUUAUUUUAUAAUAUAUUUUAGAUUUAUAAUAUCGAGUUCCCUCCAUGCUUCUGCAGAUCCGCACAAAACCUGCACAAGAAAUUGUCAGGGCAAAAGAGGUUGCAGGAGAGCCUGCACAAAACCUGCAUGGAGGGAAUGUAUAAGAAUAUGAUGAGUCAGCAUCUGCUUCUAAAGUUGCCAAUGUGUCCGUCAGUAAUAUUCCGGCAUAUGCACGAUAAUUUCAUCGCUCUGCUGGUGAAUAUCAAGAGUAGUGCUAGUAUCACAUAGGACCACCUUUCCAGCAACCUCUUUUGGAUCCAGCGCUGAACCUCUGCAUAUUGAUUUGUUUACCUUGCUUUUCCCAUAAUAUAGAGGUGAAUUGGUGAUGUAAAUGCUCUCUGGAAAGUAUGAUAUUCCUUCCACAGUUUCCCCAUUUCCCAGUUGCAGCGUUGACACAAAUUCCCGAUCAAUAGUGCCAGCUCCUACUGUUGUAAUCCAUGGUGCUCCAUUGACUAUUGAGUAAGCAUCUGAUCCAAAGUUUCUAGCAGCACAGAUGACGAAAAUUCCCCUCUCUGUCGCCAAAAGUGCUGCAAUGGCUAUGACAUCCUUGAAAUAAGGUGCCAGCCCAAGGACCAAAGACAAGGACAAGAUAUCUACCCCGUCCACAAUUGAUUGGUCCAUGGUAGCCAGUAAGUCGCUCGCAGCAAUGUUGCGAAGUGUGUCUGCCCAGCCAACCUUGUACAUGGCAAUACGUGCUCUUGGUGCCACCCCUUUGGCUGUCCCACUGGCGUAACCAAAAUGACUCGCACCGUGUACAUAAUUACCUGCAGCUGUAGAUGAUGUGUGAGUUCCAUGUCUAGAGAAAUCUCGUGCUGAUUCGAAGUCACGGUUCUUGGAGAUUCUUCCACCUGCAUCCAUAAGUACUUUGCUAAAAGAUCGAGCUCCAAUCAGCAUCAUGUUGCAGAGAGAAUGGGUAAAAGUUGUACCAUUCUCACACGUCCCUUUCCAUCUAACUGGAACCGGUGACAUCCCCUUGUCCUUAAAGCUCUCAUUUUCAGGCCAUAUUCUUGUGUCGACCAUAUGAUCACGUUUUUGCCGUAAAAUGCAGUAGGUCAUAUGCCAGCGGUAUGACUUAGGCUAAGAAACUUAGGCGAGUGGGUUGUGAAGAGCUUCCCUAAGGAUUUCAUAUGUCGCCAAAUGAGAAGGGAGCUUCUCCAGCUGAGAUAGUUAAGAUGGCGUGAGCCGUGCACUAAACCCAUGCAUGGCAUGGCUGUAGGAGUAGACCAACUUCUCUUUUUCAUCGGAGCGAUAUGGUGGCAACGACUGUGGGAUGUUUUGGUGCCAUAACUCUUCAGUUGUAAAAAUUUCUGGUUUGUGGGAAUGGUCCAUGUGUAUGAUGUAAGUUUGGUAUUCUUCAAGUUUGGAUGACACUUUGUUGAGCUCAGGUAACAAGAACAACAAUAGGUAGAAAAUUAUUGUGCGGCGUAAAAAGUUUCCUAUCUCGUUGAAAUGGAUUUGUUUAGCUAUGGUAGCUAUAGCAAUGAAAUGAAAUGAAGUUUCCUAUCUCGUUGAAAUCCCCCUCUCUGUCGCUGAAAGUGCUGCAAUGGCUAUGACAUCCUUGAAAUAAGGUUCCGCCCAAGGCCCAAAGACAAGGACAAGAUAUCUACCCCGUCCACAAUUGAUUGGUCCAUGGCAGCCAGUAAGUCGCUCGCAACAAUGUUGUGAAGUGUGUCUGCCCAGCCAACCUUGUACAUGGUAAUACGUGCUCUUGGUGCCACCCUUUUGGCUGUCCCAAAUGCGUAACCAAAAUGACUCGCACCGUGUACCUAAUUACCUGCAACUGUAAAUGAUGUGUGAGUUCCAUGUCCAGAGAAAUCUCGUGCUGAUUCGAAGUCACGAUCCUUGGAGAUUCUUCCACCUGCAGCCACAAGUACUUUGCUAAAAGAUCGAGCUCCAAUCAACUUCCUGUUGCAGAGAGAAUGGGUAAAAGCUGUAUCAUUCUCACACAUCCCUUUCCAUCUAGCUGGAACCAGUGACAUCCCCUUGUCCUUAAAGCUCUCACUUUCAGGCCAUAUUCCUGUGUCGACCCUAUGAUCACGUUUUUGCCGUAAAAUGCAGUAGGUCAUAUGCCAACGAUAUGACUUAGGCCAAGAAACUUAGGCGAGUGGGUUGUGAAGAGCUUUCCGAAGGACUCUUCAUAUGUCGCCAAAUGAGAAGGGAGCUUCUCCAGCUGAGAUAGUUGAAACGGCGUGAGCCGUGCACUAAACCCAUGCAUGACAUGGCUGUAUGAGUAGACCAACUUCUCUUUGUUAUCGGAGCGAUAUGGUGGCAACGACUGUAGGAUGUUUUGGUGCCAUAAUUCUUCAGUUGCAAAAAUUUUUGGUUUGUGGGAAUGGUCCAUAUGUAUGAUGUAAGUUUGGUAUUCUUCAGGUUUGGAUGACACUUUUUUGAGCCCAGGUAACAAGAACAACACUAGGUAGAAAAUUAUUGUGUGGCGUAAAAAGUUUCCUAUCUCGUUGAAAUGGAUUUGUUUAGCCAUGGUAGUUAUAGCAAUGGAAUGAAGUGGGAAUGUGGGAUAGUUUUUUCAACUUGCAGAUUUAUCCUACUUAUAUAGUGCAGUCAGGAGUGUGAGCACAUUGGAAUCCAAUAUAUGUGUAUAUAUAAAUACAUAUUUGUGGUGACCCUUUAGGAUUUAUGCUCAUGAUUUUGACAGCCAACAGAUUUUUAUUUGAUUUUCCUCUCAAUAAGUUUGUCAUUUAAUGACUUUAAAUAUGAAAUCGAUCCUAAAUUUGGUAUUGUUCUGUGUUCUACGUAUUCUGACCAUUCUAAAUUUAUUUUGUUACAACAUACAAGUCUAGAGACUUUCCGUUACCCUUUUUGAUAUUAUAGUAACGGUUUCCAAUUUCCAUUUUUGAUAUCAUAUCAAUAACAUCAUAAUGUUUAUUUUAUUAUAUAUUUUAGAUUUAAAAUAUGGGGUUCCCUCCAUGCUUCUGCAGAUCAGCACAGAACCUGCACAAGAAAUUGUCCGGGCAAAAGAGGUUGCUGGAAAAUCUGCACAAAACCUACAUAAAGGGAAUGUAUAAGAAUAUGAUGAGUCAGCAUCUGCUUCUAAAGUUGUCAAUGUGUCCGUCAGUAAUAUUCCGGCAUAUGCACGACAAUUUCAUCGAUCUGCUGGUCAAUAUCAAGAGUAGUGUUAGUAUCACAUAGGACCAUCUUUCCAGCAACCUCUUUUGGAUCCAGCGUUGAACCUCUGCAUAUUGAUUUGUUUACCUUGCUUUUCCCAUAAUAUAAAGGUGAAUUGGUGAUGUAAAUGCUCUCUGGAAAGUAUGAUAUUCCUUCCACAGUUUUCCCAUUUCUCAGUUGCAGCGUUGACACAAAUUCCCGUUCAAUAGUGCCAGUUCCUACUGUUGUAAUCUAUGGUGCUCCAUUGACUAUUGAGUAAGCAUCUGGUCCAAAAUUUUCAGCAGCACAGAUGACGGAAAUCUCCCUCUCUAUCGCUGAAAAUGCUGCAAUGGCUAUGACAUCCUUGAAAUAAGGUGCCCGCCCAAGGCCCAAAGACAAGGACAAGAUAUCUAUCCCGUCCACAAUUGAUUGGUCUAUGGCAGCCAGUAAGUCGCUCGCAACAAUGUUGCGAAGUGUGUCUGCCCAGCCAACCUUGUACCUGGCAAUACGUGCUUUUGGUGCCACCCCUUUGGUUGUCCCAUUAGCGUAACCAAAAUGACUCGUACCGUGUACAUAAUUACCUGCAGCUGUAGAUGAUGUGUGAGUUCCAUGUCCAGAGAAAUCUCGUGCUGAUUCGAAGUCACGGUCCUUGGAGAUUCUUCCACUUGCAGCCACAAGUCAUUUGCUAAAAGAUCGAGCUCCAAUCAGCUUCCUGUUGCAGAAAGAAUGGGUAAAAGCUGUAACAUUCUCACAUGUCCCUUUCCAUCUAGCUGGAACCUGUGACAUCCCUUUGUCCUUAAAGCUCUCACUUUUCAGGCCAUAUUCCUGUGUCGACCCUAUGAUCACGUUUUUGCCGUAAAAUGUAGUAGGUCAUAUGCCAACGGUAUGACUUAGGCCAAGAAACUUAAGCGAGUGGAUUGUGAAGAGCUUCCCGAAGGAGUCUUCAUAUGUUGCCAAAUAAGAAGGGAGCUUCUCCAGCUGAGAUAGUUGAGACGACAUGAGCCAUGCACGAAACCCAUGCAUGGCAUAGCUGUAUGACUAGACCAACUUCUCUUUGUCAUCGGAGCGAUAUGGUGGCAACGACUGUAGGAAGUUUUGGUGUCAUAACUCUUCAGUUGUAAAAAUUUCUGGUUUGUGGGAAUGGUCCAUGUGUAUGAUGUAAGUUUGGUAUUCUUCAGGUUUAGACGACACAUUGUUGUGCCCAAGUAACAAGAACAACACUAGGUAGAAAAUUAUUGUGCAGCGUAAAAAGUUUCGUAUCCCGUUGAAAUGGAUUUGUUUAGCCAUGGUAGCUAUAGCAAUGAAAUGAAGUGGGAAUGUGGGAUAGUUUUUUCAACUUGCAGAUUUAUCCUACUUAUAUAGUGGAGUCAGGAGUGUGAGCACAUUGGAAUCCAAUAUAUGUGUAUAUAUAAAUACAUAUUUGUGGGGACCCUUUAGGAUUUAUGCUUAUGAUUUUAACUGCUAACAUAUUUUUAUUUGAUUUUCCUCUCAAUAAGUUUGUAAUUUAAUGACCUUAAAUAUGAAACCGAUCCUAAAUUUGGUAUUGUUUUGUGUUUUACGUAUUCUGACCAUGCUAAAUUUAUUUUGCUACAGUAUAUAAGUCUAAAGACUUUCCCUUUCCCUUAUUGAUAUUAUAGUAAUGAUUUCCACUUUCCCUUUUUGAUAUCAUAUCAAUAACAUCAUAAUGUUUAUUUUAUAAUAUAUUUUAGAUUUAUAAUAUCAAGUUCCCUCAAUGCUUCUGCAGAUCAGCACAAAACCUUCACAAGAAAUUGUCAGGGCAAAAGAGGUUGCUGGAAAACCUGCACGAAACCUGCAUGGAGGGAAUGUAUAAGAAUAUGAUGAGUCAGCAAUUACUUCUAAAGUUGCCAAUGUGUCCGUCAGUAAUAUUCCGUCCCUUUCCAUCUCGCUGGAACAAGUGACAUCCCCUUGUCCCUAAAGCUCUCACUUUCUGGCCAUAUUCUUGUGUCGACUAACCCUAUGAUCACGUUUUUGCCGUAAGAUGCAGUAGGCCAAAUGCCAACGGUAUGACUUAGGCCAAGAAACUUAGGCGACGAGUGGAUUGUGUAGAGCUUCCCGAAGGACUCUUCAUAUGUCGCCAAAUAAGAAGGGAGCUUCUCCAGCUGAGAUAGUUGAGAUGGCGUGAGCCGUGCACUAAACCCAUGCAUGGCAUGGCUGUAUGAGUAGAGUAACUUCUUUUUGUCAUCGGAGCGAUAUGGCGGCAGCGACUGUAGGAUGAUUUGGUGCCAUAACUCUUCUGUUAUAAAAAUUUCUGGUUUGUGGGAAUGGUCAAUAUGUAUGAUGUAAGUUUGGUAUUCUUCAGGUUUGGACGACACUUUGUUGAGCCCAGGUAACAAGAACAACACUAGGUAGAAAAUUAUUGUGUGGCGUAAAGAGUUUCUUAUCUCGUUGAAAUGGAUUUGUUUAGCCAUGGUAGCUAUAGUAAUGAAAUGAAGUGGGAAUGUGGGAUAGUUUUUUCAACUUGCAAAUUUAUUCUACUUAUAUAGUGGAAUCAGGAGUGUGAGCACAUUGGAAUCCAAUAUAUGUGUAUAUAUAAAUACAUAUUUGUGGGGACCCUUUAGGAUUUAUGCUUAUGAUUUUAACUGCUAACAUAUUUUUAUUUGAUUUUCCUCUCAAUAAGUUUGUAAUUUAAUGACCUUAAAUAUGAAACCGAUCCUAAAUUUGGUAUUGUUCUGUGUUCUACGUAUUCUGACCAUGCUAAAUUUAUUUUGCUACAGCAUACAAGUCUAAAGAAUUUCCCUUUCCCUUUUUGAUAUUAUAGUAAUGGUUUCCACUUUCCCUUUUUGAUAUCAUAUUAAUAACAUCAUAAUGUUUAUUUUAUAAUAUAUUUUAGAUUUAUAAUAUCGAGUUCCCUCCAUGCUUCUGCAGAUCACCACAAAACCUGCACAAGAAAUUGUCAGGGCAAAAGAGGUUGCUGAAAAACCUGCACAAAACCUGCAUAGUGGGAAAGUAUAAGAAUAUGAUGAGUCAGCAUCUGCUUCUAAAGUUGCCAAUGUGUCCGUCAAUAAUAUUUCGGCAUAUGCACGAUAAUUUCAUCGAUCUGCUGGUCAAUAUCAAGGGUAGUGCUAGUAUCACAUAGGACCACCUUUCCAGCAACCUCUUUUGGAUCCAGCGCUGAACUUCUAUAUAUUGAUUUGUUUACCUUGCUUUUCCCAUAAUAUAGAGGUGAAUUGGUGAUGUAAAUGCUCUCUAGAAAGUAUGAUAUUCCUUCCACAGUUUUCCCAUUUUCCAGUUGCAGCGUUGACACAAAUUUUCGAUCAAUAGUGCCAGCUCCUAAUGUUGUAAUCCAUGGUGCUCCAUUGACUAUUGAGUAAGCAACUGGUCCAAAAUUUCCAGCAGCACAGAUGACGGAAAUCCCCCUCUCUGUCGCUGAAAGUUCUGCAAUGGCUAUGACAUCCUUGAAAUAAGGUUCCCGCCCAAGGCCCAAAGACAAGGACAAGAUAUCUACCCCGUCCACAAUUGAUUGGUCCAUGGCAGCCAGUAAGUCGCUUGCAACAAUGUUGUGAAGUGUGUCUGCCCAGCCAACCUUGUACAUGGUAAUACGUGCUCUUGGUGCCACCCUUUUGGCUGUCCCAAUUGCGUAACCAAAAUGACUCGCACCGUGUACCUAAUUACCUGCAACUGUAAAUGAUGUGUGAGUUCCAUGUCCAGAGAAAACUCGUGCUAAUUCGAAGUCACGGCCCUUGGAGAUUCUUCCACCUGCAGCCACAAGUACUUUGCUAAAAGAUCGAGCUCCAAUCAGCUUCCUGUUGCAGAGAGAAUGGGUAAAAGCUGUAUCAUUCUCACUCGUCCCUUUUCAUCUAACUGGAACCGGUGACAUCCCCUUAUCCUUAAAGCUCUCACUUUCAGGCCUUAUUCCUGUGUCAACCCUAUGAUCACGUUUUUGCCGUAAAAUGCAGUAGGUCAUAUGCCAGCGGUAUGACUUAGGCCAAGAAACUUAGGCGAGUGGGUUGCGAAAAGCUUCCCGAAGGACUCUUCAUAUGUCGCUAAAUGAGAAGGGGGCUUCUUCUGCUGAGAUAGUUUAGACGGCGUGAGCCGUGCACUAAACCCAUGCAUGGCAUGGCUGUAUGAGUAGACCAACUUCUCUUUGUCAUCGGAGCGAUAUGGUGGCAACGACUGUAGGAUGUUUUGGUGCCAUAACUCUUCAGUUGAAAAAAUUUCUGGUUUGUGGGAAUGGUCCAUGUGUAUGAUGUAAGUUUGGUAUUAUUCAGGUUUGGACGACACUUUGUUGAGCCUAGGUAACAAGAACAACACUAGGUAGAAAAUUAUUGUGCCGCGUAAAAAGUUUCCUAUCUUGUUGAAAUGGAUUUGUUUAGCCAUCGUAGCUAUAACAAUGAAAUAAAAUGAAAUUUCCUAUCUCAUUGAAAUCCCCCCUGUCGCGGAAAGUGCUGCAAUGGCUAUGACAUCCUUGAAAUAAGGUACCCGCCCAAGGCCUAAAAACAAGGACAAGAUAUAUAUCCCGUCCACAAUUGAUUGGUCCAUGGCAGCUAGUAAGUCGCUCGCAGCAAUGUUGCAAAGUGUGUCUGCCUAGCCAACCUUGUACAUGGCAAUACGUCCUCUUGGUGCCACCCCUUUGGUUGUCGCACUGGCGUAACCAAAAUGACUCGCACCGUGUACAUAAUUACCUGCAGCUAUAGAUGAUGUGUGAGUUCCAUGUCCAGAGAAAUCUCGUGCUGAUUCGAAGUCACGGUUCUUGGAGAUUCUUCCACCUGCAGCCACAAGUCCUGUGCUAAAAGAUCGAGCUCCAAUCAGCUUCAUGUUGCAAAGAGAAUGGGUAAAAGCUGUACCAUUCUCACAUAUCCCUUUCCAUCUCGCUGGAACCAGUGACAUCCCCUUGUCCCUAAAGCUAUCACUUUCUGGCCAUAUUCUUGUGUCGACUAACCCUAUGAUCACGUUUUUGCUAUAAGAUGCAGUAGGCCAAAUGCCAACGGUAUGACUUAGGCCAAGAAACUUAGGCAACGAGUGGGUUGUGAAGUGCUUCCCGAAGGACUCUUCAUAUGUCGCCAAAUUAGAAGGGAGCUUCUCCAGCUGAGAUAGUUGAGACGGCGUGAGCCGUGCUCUAAACCCAUGCAUGGCAUUGGCUGUAUGAGUAGACCAACUUCUCUUUGUCAUCGGAGCGAUAGUUGUACCUGUAGGAUGUUUUGGUGCCAUAACUCUUCAGUUUUAAAAUUUUCAGGUUUGCGUCCAUGUGUGUGAUGUAAGUUUGGUAUUCUUCAGGUUUGGACGACACUUCGUUGAGCCUAGGUAACAAGAACAACAUUAGGUAGAAAAUUAUUGUGCGGCGUCAAAAGUUUUCUAUCUCGUUGAAAUGGAUUUGUUUAGCCAUGGUAGCUAUAGCAAUGAAAUGAAGUGGAAAUGUGGGAUAGUUUUUUCAACUUGCAGAUUUAUCCUACUUAUAUAGUGGAGUCAGGAGUGUGAGCACAUUGGAAUCCAAAAUAUGUGUAUAUAUAAAUACAUAUUUGUGGAGACCCUUUAGGAUUUAUGCUAAUGAUUUUGACUGCUAACAUAUUUUUAUUUGAUUUUCCUCUCAAUAAGUUUAUCAUUUAAUGACCUUAAAUAUGAAAUUGAUCCUAAAUUUGGUAAAGUUCUGUGUUCUACGCAACGCAUUCUGACCAUGCUAAAUUUAUUUUGCUACAACAUACAAGUCUAGAGACUUUCCUUUUCCCUUUUUGAUAUUGUAGUAAUGGUUUCCACUUUCCCUUUUUGAUAUCAUAUCAAUAAUAUCAUAAUGUUUAUUUUAUAAUAUAUUUUAGAUUUAUAAUAUCGAGUUCCCUCCAUGCUUCUACAGAUCAGCACAAAACCUGCACAAGAAAUUGUCAAGGCAAAAGAGGUCGCUGGAAAACCUGCACAGAACCUGCAUGGAGGGAACGUAUGAGAAUAUGAUGAGUCAGCAUCUGCUUCUAAAGUUGUCAAUGUGUCUGUCAGUAUCAUAUAGGACCACCUUUCCAGCAACCUCUUUUGGAUCCAGCACUGAACCUCUGCAUAUUGGUUUGUUUAUCUUGUUUUUCCAUAAUAUAUAGGUGAAUUGGUGAUGUAAAUGCUCUCUGAAAAGUAUGACAUUCCUUCCACAGUUUCCCCAUUUCCCAGUUGCAACGUUGACACAAAUUCCCGAUCAAUAGUGCCAGCUCCUACUGUUGUAAUCCAUGGUGCUCCAUUGACUAUUGAGUAAGCAUCUGGUCCAAAAUUUCCAGCAACACAGAUGACGGAAAUCCCCCUCUGUCGCUGAAAGUGCUGCAAUGGCUAUGAAAUCCUUGAAAUAAGGUGCCUGUCCAAGGCCCAAAGACAAGGACAAGAUAUCUAGCCCCGUCCACAAUUGAUUGGUCCAUGGCAACCAGUAAGUCGCUCGCAACAAUGUUGCGAAGUGUGUCUGCCCAGCCAACCUUGUACAUGGCAAUACGUGCUCUAGGUGCCACCCCUUUGGUUGUCCCACUGGCGUAACCAAAAUGACUCGCACCGUGUACAUAAUUACCUGCAGCUAUAGAUGAUGUGUGAGUUCCAUGUCCAGAGAAAUCUCGUGCUGAUUCGAAGUCACGGUCCUUGGAGAUUCUUCCACCUGCAGCCACAAGUCCUUUGCUAAAAGAUCGAGCUCCAAUCAACUUCCUGUUGCAGAGAGAAUGGGUAAAAGUUGUACCAUUCUCACACGUCCCUUUCCAUCUCGCUGGAACUGGUGACAUCCCUUGUCCCUAAAGCUCUCACUUUCUGGCCAUAUUCCUGUGUCGACCCUAGGAUCACGUUUUUGCCGUAAGAUACAGUAGGCCAUAUGCUAGCGGUAUGACUUAGGCGAAGAAACUUAGGCGAGUGGGUUGUGAAGAGCUUCCCGAAUGACUCUUCAUAUGUCGCCAAAUUAGAAGGGAGCUUUUCCAGCGGAGAUAGUGAGAUAGCGUGAGCCGUGCUCUAAACCCAUGCAUGGCAUGGCUGUAUGAGUAGACCAACUUCUCUUUGUCAUCCGAGCGAUAUGGUGGCAACGACUGUAGGAUGUUUUGGUUCUAUAACUCUUCAGUUGUAAAAAUUUCUGGUUUGUGUCCAUGUGUAUGAUGUAAGUUUGGUAUUCUUCAGGUUUGGACGACACUUUGUUGAGACCAGGUAACAAGAAAAACACUAGGUAGAAAAUUAUUGUGCGGCGUCAAAAGUUUCAUAUCUCGUUGAAAUGGAUUUGUUUAGCCAUGGUAGCUAUAGCAAGAAAUGAAGUGGGAAUGUGGGAUAGUUUUUUCAACUUGCAAAUUUAUCCUACUUAUAUAGUGGAGUCAGGAGUGUGAGCACAUUGGAAUCGAAAAUAUGUGUAUAUAUAAAUACAUAUUUGUGGAGACCCUUUAGGAUUUAUGCUAAUGAUUUUGACUGCUAACAAAUUUUUAUUUGAUUUUCCUCUCAAUAAGUUUGUCAUUUAAUGACCUUAAAUAGGAAAUCGAUCCUAAAUUUGGUAUUGUUCUGUGUUCUACGCAUUCUGACCAUGCUAAAUUUAUUUUGCUACAACAUACAAGUCUAGAGACUUUCCCUUUCCCUUUUUUGAUAUUAUAGUAAUGGUUUCCACUUUCCCUUUUUGAUAUCAUAUCAAUAACAUCAUAAUGUUUAUUUUAUAAUAUAUUUUAGAUUUAUAAUAUCGAUUUCCCUUCAUGCUUCUGCAGAUCAACACAAAACCUGCACAAGAAAUUGUCAAGGCAAAAGAGGUUGCUGGAAAACCUGCACAAAACCUGCAUGGAGGGAAUGUAUGAGAAUAUGAUGAGUCAGCAUCUGCUUCUAAAGUUGCCAAUGUGUCCGUCAGUAAUAUUCCGACAUAUGCCCUGCCAAUUUCAUCGAUCUGCUGGUCAAUAUCAAGAGUAGUGCUAGUAUCACAUAGGACCACCUUUCCAGCAACCUCUUUUGGAUCUAGCGCUGAACCUCUACAUAUUAAUUUGUUUACAUUGCUUUUCCCAUAAUAUAGAGGUGAAUUGGUGAUGUAAAUGCUCUCUGAAAAGUAUGAUAUUCCUUCCACAGUUUCCCCAUUUCCCAAUUACAGCGUUGCCAUAAAUUCCCGAUCAAUAGUGCCAGCUCCUACUGUUGUAAUCCAUGGUGCUCGAUUGACUAUUGGGAAGCAUCUGGUCCAAAAAUUCCAGCAGCACAGAUGACGAAAAUCCCCAUCUCUGUCGCUGAAAGUGCUGCAAUGGGUAUGACAUCCUUGAAAUAAGGUGCCGGUCCAAGUCCCAAAGACAAGGACAAGAUAUCUACCCCGUCCACAAUUGAUUGUUCCAUGGCAGAAAGUAAGUCGCUCGCAGCAAUGUUGCGAAGUGCGUCUGCCCAGCCAACCUUGUACAUAGCAAUACGUGCUUUUGGUGCCACCCCAUUGGCUGUCCCACUGGCGUAACCAAAAUGACUCGCACUGUGUACAUAAUUACCUCCAACUGUAGAUGAUGUAUGAGUUCCAUGGCCAGAGAAAUCUCGUGCUGAUUCGAAGUCACGAUCCUUGGAGAUUCUUCCACCUGCAACCACAAGUCCUUUGCUAAAAGAUCGAGCUCCAAUCAGCUUCAUGUUGCAGAUAGAAUGGGUAAAAGUUGUACCAUUCUUACACGUCCCUUUCCAUCUCGCUGGAACAAGUGACAUCCCCUUGUCCCUAAAGCUCUCAUUUUUUGGCCAUAUUCUUUUGUCGACUAACCCUAUGAUCACGUUUUUGCCGUAAGAUGCAGUAGGCCAAAUGCCAACGGUAUGACUUAGGCCAAGAAACUUAGGCGACGAGUGGAUUGUGUAGAGCUUCCCGAAGGACUCUUCAUAUGUCGCCAAAUAAGAAGGGAGCUUCUCCAGCUGAGAUAGUUGAGAUGGCGUGAGCCGUGCACUAAACCCAUGCAUGGCAUGGCUGUAUGAGUAGAGUAACUUCUUUUUGUCAUCGGAGCGAUAUGGCGGCAACGACUGUAGGAUGAUUUGGUGCCAUAACUCUUCUGUUAUAAAACUUUCUGGUUUGUGGGAAUGGUCAAUAUGUAUGAUGUAAGUUUGGUAUUCUUCAGGUUUGGACGACACUUUGUUGAGCCCAGGUAACAAGAACAACACUAGGUAGAAAAUUAUUGUGUGGCGUAAAGAGUUUCUUAUCUCGUUGAAAUGGAUUUGUUUAGCCAUGGUAGCUAUAGCAAUGAAAUGAAGUGGGAAUGUAGGAUAGUUUUUUCAACUUGCAGAUUUAUCCUACUUAUAUAGUGGAUUCAGGAGUGUGAGCACAUUGGAAUCCAAAAUAUGUGUAUAUAUAAAUACAUAUUUGUGGAGACCCUUUAGGAUUUAUGCUAAUGAUUUUGACUGCUAACAUAUUUUUAUUUGAUUUUCCUCUCAAUAAGUUUGUCAUUUAAUGACCUUAAAUAUGAAAUCGAUCCUAAAUUUGGUAUUGUUCUGUGUUCUACGUAUUCUGACCAUGCUAAAUUUAUUUUGCUACAGCAUACAAGUCUAGAGACUUUCCCUUUCCCUUUUUUGAUAUUAUAGUAAAGGUUUCCACUUUCCCUUUUUGAUAUCAUAUCAAUAACAUCAUAAUGUUUAUUUUAUAAUAUAUUUUAGAUUUAUAAUAUCGAGUUCCCUCCAUGCUUCUGCAGAUCAGCACAAAACCUGCACAAGAAAUUGUCAAGGAUAAAGAGGUUGCUGGAAAACCAGCACAAAACCUGCAUGGAGGGAAUGUAUAAGAAUAUGAUGAGUCAGUAUCUGCUUCUAAAGUUGCCAAUGUGUCCGUCAGUAAUAUUCCGGCACAUGCACGGCAAUUUCAUUGAUCUGCUGGUCAAUAUCAAGGGUAGUGCUAGUAACACAUAGGACCACCUUUCCAGCAACCUCUUUUUGAUCCAGCGCUGAACUUCUGCAUAUUGAUUUGUUUACCUUGCUUUUACCAUAAUAUAGAGGUGAAUUGGUGAUGUAAAUGCUCUCUAGAAAGUAUGAUAUUCCUUCCACAGUUUCCCCAUUUCCCAGUUGCAGCGUUGACACAAAUUCCCGAUCAAUAGUGCCAGCUCCUACUGUUGUAAUCCAUGGUGCUCCAUUGACUAUUGAGUAAGCAUCUGGUCCAAAAUUUCAAGCAGCACAGAUGACGGAAAUCCCCCUCUCUGUCGCUGAAAGUGCUGCAAUGGCUAGGACAUCCUUGAAAUAAGGUGUCGGGCUAAGGCCCAAAGACAAGGACAAGAUAUCUACCCCGUCCACAAUUGAUUAGUUCAUGGCAGCCAGUAAGUCGCUCGCAGCAAUGUUGCGAAAUGUGUCUGCCCAGCCAACCUUGUACAUGGCAAUACGUGCUCUUGGUGCCACCACUUUGGCUGCCCCACUGGUGUAACCAUAAUGACUCGCACCGUGUACAUAAUUACCUGCAACUGUAGAUGAUGUGUGAGUUCCAUGUCCAGAGAAAUCUCAUGCUGAUUCGAAGUCAGGCCCUUGAAGAUUCUUCCACCUGCAUCCACAAGUACUUUGCUAAAAGAUCGAACUCCAAUCAGCUUCCUGUUGUAGAGAGAAUGGGUAAAAGUUGUACCAUUCUUACUCGUCCCUUUUCAUCUAACUGGAACCGGUGACAUCCCCUUGUCCUUAAAGCUCUCACUUUCAGGCCAUAUUUUUGUGUCAACCCUAUGAUCACGUUUUUGCCGUAAAAUAUAGUAGGUCAUAUGCCAGCGGUAUGACUUAGGCCAAGAAACUUAGGCGAGUGGGUUGCGAAGAGCUUCCCGAAGGACUCUUAAUAUGUCGCUAAAUGAGAAGGGAGCUUCUUCUGCUGAGAUAGUUUAGACGGCGUGAGUUGUGCACUAAACCCAUGCAUGGCAUGGCUGUAUGAGUAGAACAACUUCUCUUUGUCAUCAGAGCGAUAUGGUGGCAACGACUGUAGGAUGUUUUGGUGCCAUAACUCUUCAGUUGAAAAAAUUUCUGGUAUGUGGGAAUGGUCCAUGUGUAUGAUGUAAGUUUGGUAUUCUUCAGGUUUGGACGACACUUUGUUGAGCCUAGGUAACAAGAACAACACUAGGUAGAAAAUUAUUGUGCGGCGUAAAAAUUUCCUAUCAUGUUGAAAUGGAUUUGUUUAGCCAUGGUAGCUAUAACAAUGAAAUGAAAUGAAAUGAAAUUUCCUAUCUCGUUGAAAUCCCCCUCUCUGUCGCGAAAAGUGCUGCAAUGACUAUGACAUCCUUGAAAUAAGGUGCCUGUCCAAGGCCCAAAAACAAGGACAAGAUAUAUACCCCGUCCACAAUUGAUUGGUCCAUGGCAGCCAGUAAGUCGCUCGCAGCAAUGUUGCGAAGUGUGUCUGCCCAGCCAACCUUGUACAUGGCAACACGUGUUCUUGGUGCCACCCCUUUGAUUGUCGCACUGACGUAACCAAAAUGACUCGCACCGUGUACAUAAUUACCUACAGCUAUAGAUAAUGUGUGAGUUCCAUGUCCAGAGAAAUCUCGUGCUGAUUCGAAGUCACGGUUCUUGGAGAUUCUUCCACCUGCAGCCACAAGUCCGUUGCUAAAAGAUCGAGCUCAAAUCAGCUUCAUGUUGCAAAGAGAAUGGGUAAAAGCUGUACCAUUCUCACAUGUCCCUUUCCAUCUCGCUGGAACCAGUGACAUCCCCUUGUCCCUAAAGCUAUCACUUUCUGGCCAUAUUCUUGUGUCGACUAACCCUAUGAUCACGUUUUUGCUGUAAGAUGCAGUAGGCCAAAUGCCAACGGUAUGACUUAGGCCAACAGACUUAGGCGACGAGUGGGUUGUGAAGUGCUUCCCGAAGGACUCUUCAUAUGUCUCCAAAUGAGAAGGGAGCUUCUCCAGCUGAGAUAGUUGAGACGGCGUGAGCCGUGCUCUAAACCCAUGCAUGGCAUUGGCUGUAUGAGUAGACCAACUUCUCUUUGUCAUCGGAGCGAUAUGGUGGCAACGACUGUAGGAUGUUUUGAUGCCAUAACUCUUCAGUUUUAAAAUUUUCUGGUGUGUGUCCAUGUGUAUGAUGUAAGUUUGGUAUUCUUCAGGUUUGGACGACACUUUGUUGAGCCCAGGUAACAAGAACAACAUUAGGUAGAAAAUUAUUGUGCGGCGUCAAAAGUUUCCUAUCUCGUUGAAAUGGAUUUGUUUAGCCAUGGUAGCUAUAGCAAUGAAAUGAAGUGGGAAUGUGGGAUAGUUUUUUCAACUUGCAAAUUUAUCUUACUUAUAUAGUGGAGUCAGAAGUGUGAGCACAUUGGAAUCCAAAAUAUGUGUAUAUAUAAAUACAUAUUUGUGGGGACCCUUUAGGAUUUAUGCUAAUGAUUUUGACUGCUAACAUAUUUUUAUUUGAUUUUCCUCUCAAUAAGUUUAUCAUUUAAUGACUUUAAAUAUGAAAUCGAUCCUAAAUUUGGUAAUGUUCUGUGUUCUACGCAUUCUGACCAUGCUAAAUUUAUUUUGCUACAGCAUACAAGUCUAGAGACUUUCCCUUUCCCUUUUUGAUAUUAUAGUAAUGGUUUCCACUUUCCCUUUUUGAUAUCAUAUCAAUAACAUCAUAAUGUUUAUUUUAUAAUAUAUUUUAGAUUUAUAAUAUCGAGUUCCCUCCAUGCUUCUGCAGAUCAGCACAAAACCUGCCCAAGAAAUUGUCAAGGCAAAAGAGGUUGCUGGAAAACCUGCACAGAACCUACAUGGAGGGAACGUAUGAGAAUAUGAUGAGUCAGCAUCUGCUUCUAAAGUUGUCAAUGUGUGUGUCAGUAAUAUUCCGGCAUAUGCCCUGACAAUUUCAUCGAUCUGCUGGUCAAUAUCAAGAGUAGUGCUAGUAUCACAUAGGACCACCUUUCCAGCAACCUCUUUUGGAUCUAGCGCUAAACCUCUACAUAUUGAUUUGUUUACAUUGCUUUUCCCAUAAUAUAGAGGUGAAUUGGUCAUGUAAAUGCUCUCUAAAAAGUAUGAUAUUCCUUCCAAAGUUUCCCCAUUUCACAGUUGCAGCGUUGCCACAAAUUCCCGAUCAAUAGUGUCAGCUCCUACUGUUGUAAUCCAUGGUGCUCCAUUGACUAUUGAGAAGCAUCUGGUCCAAAAUUUCCAACAGCACAGAUGACGGAAAUCCCUCUCUCUUUGUCGCUGAAAGUGCUGCAAUGGCUAUGACAUCCUUGAAAUAAGGUGUCGGCCCAAGGCCCAAAGACAAGGACAAGAUAUCUACCCCGUCCACAAUUGAUUGGUCCAUGGCAGCAAGUAAGUCGCUCGCAGCAAUUUUGCGAAGUGCGUCUGCCCAGCCAACCUUGUACAUGGCAAUACGUGCUCUUGGUACCACCCCUUUGGUUGUCCCACUGCCGUAACCAAAAUGACUUGCACCGUGUACAUAAUUACCUCCAGCUGUAGAUAAUGUGUGAGUUCCAUGUCCAGAGAAAUCUCGUGCUGAUUCGAAGUCACGGUCCUUGGAGAUUCUUCCACCUGCAACCACAAGUCCUUUGCCAAAAGAUCGAGCUCCACUCAGCUUCAUGUUGCAGAUAGAAUGGGUAAAAGUUGUACCAUUCUCACACGUCCCUUUCCAUCUCGCUGGAACUAGUGACAUCCCCUUGUCCCUAAAGCUCUCACUUUCUGGCCAUAUUCUUGUGUCGACUUACCCUAUGAUCACGUUUUUGCCGUAAGAUGCAGUAGGCCAAAUGCCAAUGGUAUGACUUGGGCCAAGAAACCUAGGCGACGAGUGAGUUGUGAAGAGCUUCCCGAAGGACUCUUCAUAUGUCGCUAAAUGAGAAGGGAGCUUCUCCAGCUGAGAUAGUUGAGAUGGCGUGAGCCGUGUACUAAACACAUGCAUGACAUGGCUGUAUGAGUAGAGUAACUUCUCUUCGGUAUUCUUCAGGUUUGGACGACACUUUGUUGAGCCCAGGUAACAAGAACAACACUAAGUAGAAAAGUAUUGUGUGGCAUAAAGAGUUUCCUAUCUCAUUGAAAUGGAUUUGUUUAGCCAUGGUAGCUAUAGCAAUGAAAUGAAGUGGGAAUGUAGGAUAGUUUUUUCAACUUGCAGAUUUAUCCUACAUAUAGUGGAGUCAAGAGUGUGAGCACAUUGGAAUCCAAUAUAUGUGUAUAUAUAUAUAUAUAUAUAUAUAUAUAUAUAUAUAUAUAUAUAUAUAUAUUUGUGGAGACCCUUUAGGAUUUAUGCUCAUGAUUUUGAAUUCUAACAGAUUUUUAUUUGAUUUUCCUCUCAAUAAGUUUGUCAUUUAAUGACCUUAAAUAUGAAACCGAUCCUAAAUUUGGUAUUUUUCUGUGUUCUACGUAUUCUGACCAUGCUAAAUUUAUUUUGCUACAGCAUACAAGUCUAGAGACUUUCCCUUUCCGUUUUUGAUAUUAUAGUGGCUAAUGGUUUCCACUUACCCUUUUUGAUAUCAUAUCAAUAACAUCAUAAUGUUUAUUUUAUAAUAUAUUUUAGAUUUAUAAUAUCGAGUUUAAUCUUUUAUAUUCAAUUUGACAUACUUUUAAAUUUAAAAUUAAUAUGAUAUGAUAUUAUUACAUUUUAGUUAAUACUACUAUGACUAUUAAUAAAAACUUAUCUAAAAAAUAAUACUCUUGAAUACCAAACUUAUAUUGAAUUAAUUUUGAUUUUUUUAAAAGCUAAUUCUAUAUAUUAUAAAUUUAAAUUAAUAUAAAUUAAUUUAAUUUUAGGCAUUACAAUUAUGUAAAGACCAAUAGAGUCAUGGGAGUUGUAGGACAUCAAUUUUUUGUCUUUUACAAUUUUUUCUGGUUACUUGGUGGUGGUAAAAGAGUUGUAAACUAUUUAAAACUUACUAUUACUAUUUAGUUAUAUAAAAUUAAAUAAAUUACAUCAAUUUUGAGUUUUUAAAGGCCAUAUUGACUGUUAAAAUUUUAACUUGACUUUAUAUUUGGCACAAAUUAAGGGAGUAUAAAGUAGGCCUCCACAUGAAAGUGAAUUUCAUUAACAUACUUCUUCACACCAGGAAAUAGGAAUGAAAGUCAUAUAUAUAUAUAUAUAUAUAUAUAUAGGGUAUCCAUCCACAGUAACCGGUUGUUGGGGAGCAACCCAUUUUGGCCCAGCCGCUACAACCUGUAGCGGCUUGUGCUGUGGAUGGAAUAUAUAUAUAUAUAUAUAUAUAUAUAUAUAUAUAUAUAUAUAUCCAGUGAUAUUUUAUAUUUAUGUAUAUAUGUAUAUAUCCAGUGAUAUUUAUUACUAUUUGUGGGGACCCUUUAGGAUUUAUGCUCAUGAUUUUGACUGCUAACAAAUUUUUAUAUGAUUUUCCUGUCAAUAAGUUUGACAUUUAUCUGCAUAAUUCUACAACUAACAUCCACUUUAAUGACCUUAAUUAUGAAAUCGAAUUAAAUAAAUAGGAAUGGGUACAUCAAAAGUAGUACAUUAGGAGGCAUUAUGGCAUAUCUAAAUUUGGUAUUUAAUUUGUGUUUUAAGUAUCCUGACCAUGCUAAAUUUAUUUUGCUACAGAAUACAAGUCUGCAACAAGUCUACAUAUUUUAAUGGUAAGCAUAUAUAUCCCAAAUUAAUUAGAAUACUAUUAACAGGUUUUUUUCUUAAAUAAAGAGGAACACUAUUUUCACAUGUAAUUUUGAUAUUUCCACAUGGUUUUCUCUUACGAGAGAGUAGGGUGGGUCCCACUUUUAUGUGAGAGGAAAUGUAAAAAUAUCAUAAUUACAUGUGAAAAUAUCAUUUCCCCUAUAAAUUUGUAUAUUUUUGUGGACAUUUUUUUCUUUGUAGUACAAAAUUUUCUUGAUUGGAAUAAUUUUGGUGUUGGUGGGCACUGGGCAGGGCCAUCACUUACUAAAUAGGCUUACAAUUGAUAUCUUUUUGCAGGGUUAUUUUUAUCAGCAUAUACUAUAUUUGGAUCAAUUAAUUAGGUAUAUGUCACAGUGAUAUUUUUCUCAGUAUACUAUUUUUGCAUCAAUUAAUUAGGUACCUAUCUUGGUAAACAUAUUACAAAUAUGGGCAUCAUGUUAGAGACAAUAGAAAUGUAAAAUAAUAAUAAAAUAAAAGUAUUAAAUUUUUUAAAUAUAUAUACAAGUUUGUAAUACAAAUUUCACAUCAGGAGGCCAACAUCGGAGCAACUAAAUAACCAAGGUCCCCAACAGUUUUAAAGUUCAUUUACAUUAAAAAUAAUUUAAAAAUAUUAAAUAUAAUAAAAAGAUUCAUCAUAAACUAAGUCUAUUUAAAUAAAUGUGUUAGCAAUAUGGUAUAAUAACAUCGGCUUGGCUUAUAGCACCAACUUUGUUUAAUUUUAUAUGUUAAAAGUAUUGAAGACCUGAAAUUUAUAUAUUAAAUAGGUUUAACAAACUCAACCCGAACCUCAACCCGAACCUCGAGCCUUAUUUUUGAUACAUGGGCAUCAAAUGCUAGGCCCAAUCUGAACCUAAGAAAUUUUAUAUGGGUUCACCACUAAUGCCCACAACCAGCCCAAAUUGCACCCUUGGUUGAGCACGACGACCCAGCAAGUCAAACAGUUAUCACAUAACACAUAAUUCACAUUUCAACAUACCUUACAUUAUAUACAUGCUUACAUUUUAUACAUGCUUUAUAAUAUUCAUGCUUUGUAUUUCUCAAUUUAAAUAGUUCACAUUGAACAAUCAACUUAAAUCAUCAACUGAAUAUUAACAAUUAUUAUUGCACAGAAUGCACAAAAAAACAUAUUCACAUGAAUAUCACAUAAUACUAAUAAUUCGCAUGUAACACAUAACAGCAAGAUCUGAAAAACUUACAUUGGUUUGCGUUUAUAACUAUACGUUCAUCAAUAGUUUAUUGCGUAACUUAUUUCAUUGUUUAGCAACAUUCGUUCAUUUUUACGUACUCGAAGCGAUAAUAUCUCAUAUUGCACCUAUAUAACACACAGAAUACAUUCACAAUGUUUCAAUCUUAUUAGCACAUUGUUUACAAAAAAAAAAUUCAAGGUUUUCUUAAUAAGGCCAUCAUUUUUUUUAGGCCAUCCAUCACGGGGAUUUUUUUUAGGCCAUCCAUCACGGGGAUUUUCACACUGCACUCCCAUUGAUUUUUCUUAAAUGUCCUCUAUUUUUUUUGACACUUUUUCUUUGCCUUGUCCGACAAAGAAGAGACUCGGGAGAGUUAUCAAACAUAUUCUCAUUCGCAAUUAUCUAUUUCUCUGUGCUUGCAUCAAUUAAUAUGUUUAUGGAUAUUUAUUCAACAGAUAUUGCUUCUUCUUUUUUUGAAACAUUUUAUAUUUUUUUAGCUAUUAUGGAUGGUCAGUACCAAAACUUAAAAUUUCAUUACUCAUUAAAAGCUUAGUUAUGCUAAACUCCAUUGCAAGGAACUGUCAUCUAUUAUGGUGCUGUUAGCAUAAGGCUAGAACAAGCCGGCCAAAUAUCCAUAUUUCAUCAUGAUUACUAGUAUUAAGUAAAGACUCUGAAAUAAUCCGGGUCAAAUCCUGAGUCCGGAACAAAUUUCGGAUCAAAUCUCAAGUCCGAAUCUAGUCAAAUCCAUCAAAAUAAGGUCUCAAACCACUGACCCAAUAGUAUCUUCUUGGGUCAUCUUAGCCCACCACAAGCUCGCCCAAAAGGUCAUGAUUUGAAGGUACUAUUGGUAGUAACUUAUUUCCUUAUAUGCAGAUAAAUUUUUCCCCUAUCUUUCGAUAUGGGACUGGAGUGUUACAAACUCCCCCACUUAAAUUUCUGAUGUCCCCGUCAGAACCGAUCAGAUGCACAUCCCAAAGAUAUUUGCCUCUCUAGCCAUUGUGGAAUAAUACCGGCUGGCUUCGUGUCCCCACCUCUGGACCUCCAUCUCUCCAUUGCGGGAUAAUACCACCAGCCUUUGUGUCUCCACCUCCGGCAACCCGAUCAGAUGACCUGGCCCGAGCUUUCGAGAGUCGACUCUGAUACCAUAUGAAACAACCCGUGUUAAAUCCCGAGUCAGAAAUAAAUUUCAGGUCCGAAUCAAAUCAAUCAAAAUAAGACCUCAAACCAUUGGCCCAAUAAUAUCUUCUUGGGGUCAUUUUAGUCCACCACAAGCUCACCCAAAAGGUCAUGACUUGAAGGUAUUAUUGGUAGUAACUUAUUUCUUUAUAUGUAGAUAAAUUUUUCCCCUAUCUUUCGAUGUGGGACUGGGGUGUUAGACCCCCUGCAGAUGACAUUUUAUAGGUGAAAGGAACAAUAGCCCACUUCAAAAAUUUCUAAUUUACAAUUCAUAUACUCAAUUGCAACCAAACUUUAACAUGCAAUAGACAUAUUAUUUUUUAAAACAAACAACUUAGCUAACUUGGACAUUUUACACAGGUUUUACAAGACCUCAAAACUGCCUUGUUGUGGCAAUUUUUUUUUAACAGAGCCCAACACCUUCAAUUCUUGCAAUUUUACUUUUAAACUUGUUUUCGCUUACCCAAACAACUUGAAUCACUUCAUAUAAUACAUAUAUAGGCUUCUUUGUUCACAAUAUUAACAAAUUUUCACUUUUAAAGCUUGAUAGCCUCUAAGAGGCAUAACAUCAAACAUGCUUUGUGCAUUAUUUUUAAGAAACAGAAUUCACAAGUGUUGGAGCAUGGAUUAGCCCAAAUUUCUCCAUCCUUAUAACUCCAUAAAGCAUAUAUCUCCAUCUUCAUAAAAUACUACAGCCAAACAUAUCAGUUAUAUUAAUAUUUACUAUUUACAUAUGUAUUUACUCAAUUUCGUAUAAAUAUAUAGAAAUACAUGAAUUACCUCCAUGAUUACUAUUCUUAUUUAAAUUCUUAUUAUCAGUUUGAUGUGUACUGAAUUCAAUCUUCUUUUGCCGAGAAUGAGCUUUAAUCUCUUCCCAAUUUAGCUUGGAUCUUCGAGCUAGAUUUUCCCCCACCCGUGACCCGACCAAGAGAAUUUGACGAAGGGUUGAAAGUAUAAAAGCUUAAUAAUAGAUAGAGAAGGAAUUUUUGGAACGGAUGGGCUGAUAUUGGAGAACUUAAAAUGACUUGAUUUAGUGGGUGGGUGUUUAGUAUAUUCAUAUUGUGCCACCUCCUUUAAAUAACUCAGCAACAAUAGUGGAGGUUAAAUUAGCAUGAUCAUGCCUUAUCCUGUAAUACAUAUAAAUAUUAAAUAUUACAUACACACUAAACCUUUCUAUUACACAUAUAUGCACGGUUCAAGAGCAUUACUCUUAAAGGGCAUUACUUUGUUAAAUAACAUACCUAUUUAAAUGCCAUUACUUUUAAUUUCUCUCUCACUCACUUGCCCAAGCUCUGAGACUUGCAACUCCAAAAAUUCCUCUCAAAUUCAAUACAAUCACUCCUUGCCCAAUUCCACCGCUCUGAAAUUCUCUCCUCCAAACUCAUCAUCCCCUUCACCGUACGGCCUCAUUUCUCGUAUCCCACCUCCGAUCUGAAACUCCUCCUCCAAACUCUCCAUCGACCCAUCUUCCCCGUUAGCAAACACGGCCAGAUCUUGAAAUAUCUCGGUAGACCCUUAACUAAAUUUUAAUUUCAUUAAGAAUUAACUAGAAUUCAAUUUCAUUUUGUGAUUCAAUUUGGGAAUUUUCGCAUUUGGGAAUUAAUCCUAAUUUAGUUUAUUUAUUUAUUUAAUUUUUUGUUUUUGUGGUGGACUGUGAACUACAUUACUACGAUGCUUGUUUAUGGGUUGAUUUUUUGGUUUAUCUAGUCGUUUGGUCACCUUUUUUUUAGAAUUAGAAUUUCUGGAGUAAUUGUGAAACAAUUCUCAGAAUGAAUUAGAAUGAUUAAAGUUGUUGUUUUAUGUCCUAAUAAUGCAUACUGUGUGUGAGAUGGUCAAUAAUUUUGCUAGUUACAGUGUCUGUAUUAAUUAUGUUUAUGUUCUUGUAUUUAUUAAAUUAUUCUUUUUCAUAGAACAGAGUUGUAACUUGUAAUUUCCUCAUACGGCUCAAUAGGUUGAAGAGUCAGUCUCCGUGGAGCCCACUACAGAUCGAUUCAAUGGGUGAACUCAGAUUCGAGUUAGGCCAGUACAACCCAUGCAAAUUCAUAUGGGAAAUUGUAGCCGCCAUUGUUUACCCCAAAAAGCUUUCCAAAAGCUUUCCAUUGUUGUUCUUCUUCUUCUCUGUGAUUUUACUAAAUUCCAUGAGUAAGUUGUCUUCAGAAAGAAAUUUAGGAGGAAGCCAAAACUCUCCGUCAUCCAAAUCCUCUGCCAUCUGAAGAAAUCACGGGAAGUAAAUAUAAACACAAAGAAUUAAAAAUAAAAUAUGAUAUACAGUUAAAAGUAAAAGCUUUGAUUACCAUGUGUGAUGGGGUAAUUGCUGCUUCUUUAAGGUUGAAUUAUAAUUAUUAUUAACCCCUACUACCUUUGCUUUAAUCAGGCCUAGGAAGAAGAUAGUGAUGAGGAGGAAGAGAAGAAGAACACAGUGGUGCAGAGAGUUGGUUUAAAGAUUUUAGAGUGAUGAGAGAGCAAAAUCGAGGGAGGCAGAGAGUGUAUAUAUAAAGUGUUUUCCUUAAAAGAGAAGGGAGGGAACCCUAGGUUGAUGAAUUUUUUAUGUCACGCUCCAUAAUUGAAUGUGAGAAAGGCGCCAUUUUUGCACUAUUUUUAUAAUUAUUUUGUGGAUGCACUAAUCUUGUAAUUACUUUUUAAUUAUUGUAUAGUAGUGUAAAGAACUCAUUUCAAAGUCA